RNAcentral lists this ribosomal RNA (460 nucleotides) under uncultured bacterium. Its description in RNAcentral is "bacterial SSU rRNA". It matches the Rfam family "Bacterial small subunit ribosomal RNA", at positions 340 to 786 of the family's 1533-position model. The record is from RNAcentral.
UACGGAAGGCAGCAGUGGGGAAUAUUGCACAAUGGGCGAAAGCCUGAUGCAGCUAUGCCGCGUGUAUGAAGAAGGCCUUUAGGGUUGUAAAGUACUUUCAUCGGGGAGGAAAAAACAAAACUAAUAAUUUUAUUUCUUGACGUUACCCGAAAAAGAAGCACCGGCUAACUCCGUGCCAGCAGCCGCGGUAAUACGGAGGGUGCUAGCGUUAAUCAGAAUUACUGGGCGUAAAGAGCACGUAGGUGGUUUUUUUAAAGUCAGAUGUGAAAUCCCUGGGCUUAACCUAGGAACUGCAUUUUGAAACUGAAAUACUAGAGUAUCGUAGAGGGAGGUAGAAUUCUAGGUGUAGCGGUGAAAUGCGUAGAUAUCUGGAGGAAUACCUGUGGCGAAAGCGGCCUCCUAAACGAAUACUGACACUGAGGGUGCGAAAGCGUGGGGAGCAAAACAGGGAUUAGAUACC